Molecule: ribosomal RNA, 229 nt
Filed under: uncultured bacterium
Lineage: Bacteria
Description: partial 16S ribosomal RNA
Rfam family: Bacterial small subunit ribosomal RNA
Source: RNAcentral
GGCGUAGGCGGAUCAAUAAGUCAGUGGUGAAAUCUCUCGGCUCAACCGGGAAACUGCCAUUGAUACUGUUGAUCUUGAGUUCGGUUGAGGUAGGCGGAAUGUGUAAUGUAGCGGUGAAAUGCUUAGAUAUUACACAGAACACGAAUUGCGUAGGCAGCUUACUAGACCGACACUGACGCUGAGGCACGAAAGCGUGGGGAGCGAACAGGAUUAGAUACCCUGGUAGUCC